RNAcentral lists this long non-coding RNA (1301 nucleotides) under Mytilus galloprovincialis (Mediterranean mussel). Lineage: Eukaryota; Metazoa; Mollusca; Bivalvia; Mytilida; Mytilidae. The record is from RNAcentral.
UUGCUUCAACCCCUUGGUGAAAUUUAAAUGGCGAGACGAUAAUUAAUAAACUAUCUAUCUAUCUAUCGACAUGCGCCGUUAUUUGGGAUUUUAGAAUACGUCACGGAUGACCGAUGAUCAUAUUCAAUACCAAUCAUCAUUUGAAUUUUGUCAAUUGAUCUUUAAUGAUUUGGACUGAUUGGUGAUGGCAGAGAAUGUGUCUUUGUUGAAAAAAAAUAUAAAAUUAUAUGAAUAUGCUAAAUAAAUUUUUCUUUGGUAUGUAAUAAUUGAAGAAGUUAUAUCAUUUAAAAACGUUUAGAAAUAUAGAUCUUUUUCGAUGUACAAUUUGGCCCGCUUGGAGAUCUUAAUAAUUGUUUGUCUACUUUCGUCUAUUUAUAUUGCUGAAAUUCUUUAAUCAAGGAUUUGUACAAGCCCUUGCUAUAAUAUAAUGAAUCUCGUCGCCAAUAUCACACCAUAAUAACUUAAAGAACAGAUACAAUCUUAUCCUAAAUAGUUUGCCAUCUAACAAUUCAAAAAGAAAUUUUGAGUCGAAACUGAAGUACCAAAUCUUUAAAAAGAAUCACCUUUUUGGAACAGUAUAGACGUUGAAAAUUAAACUGUAUAUAUAUAUUCUUUUUUCAAAACUCCUGAAAUAACUUAAAAUUAUCUUUAGACAGCUUUCAUAUGCAAAUCUUUUUAGAAGUAUGUGAGCGUAUUUACCCCCCCCCCCUUUUUCCUUCUAUAAUAAACUAUUGAAUGAAUCUGAAUCUAUAAAAUUUAUUUGUAAACGAUUUUGUGUCUUAAUUUGUGUUUGCUAAUUAAUUGCGGUCCAUGCUGUCAAAAGUCAAAAAUGUCUCCUUGUGUAUAAGUUAUCGAUAAAAAAACUAUUUGAAGCCGCCAGAAGAAUAAAUCAUUUCCUGAACUUAAAUACAUUUAUCUGUAAAUAAAGACAAUUUGCCUAAAACAUUCUCGCAUAUAUUUAAACAAUUGUAAAAUAAUUAAUUCAACGACUUUCUUUUCCUUUUUCCUUUUCUUCUUCAGUUUUUUUUUUUUUAUACCCAUUGCUUUUUUUUUUUAUCCUAUUUUAUGUAUAACAUGUUAGCAGUUGAACGGAAUUAAGUACAUUUUUUCAGGAAUUUACAACGUAAAUUUUCAACAACAAAAUUCCACACUUUUUUACUUGAAUUUUUUUUUCUGUUUUGAAGGCGCCACCAGUGACCCCGUAGCACGGCUUAUUCUCAUUUCGCCUUAGCUGUCAAAAUCUUUAUAUAUAAUUAAUUCCAUUUUGCCUUAGUACAAAUUUUCAGGUAUUAAAAGAUAAU